AUGACUGCUAAGAGCCAAGGGAGGGUGAGAAGAUGCUGGCUGGCCAUGGUGUGCAAUCAAGAACGAGAGAUCUAUUCGCUCGUCCCUUCAGGAAGAAGGGUUACAUUCCAUUGAUGACGUAUCUGAGGACAUUUAAGAUCGAAGAUUUCGUCGAUAUCAAGGUUAACGAAGCCGUUCACAAGGGUAUGCCACACAAAUUCUACCAUGUCCGCAGCGGUAGGUUCUGGAACGUCACC
Telopea speciosissima is the source of this 236-nucleotide long non-coding RNA. RefSeq lists it as uncharacterized. Lineage: Eukaryota; Viridiplantae; Streptophyta; Magnoliopsida; Proteales; Proteaceae. The transcript is spliced from 3 exons. The record is from RefSeq and is a predicted model, not a curated record.